Molecule: ribosomal RNA, 1361 nt
Filed under: uncultured bacterium
Lineage: Bacteria
Description: bacterial SSU rRNA
Rfam family: Bacterial small subunit ribosomal RNA
Source: RNAcentral
GAUGAACGCUAGCUACAGGCUUAACACACGCAAGUCGAGGGGCAUCAGGAAGAAAGCUUGCUUUCUUUUGCUGGCGACCGGCGCACGGGUGAGUAACACGUAUCCAACCUGCCCUUUACUCGGGGAUAGCCUUUCGAAAGAAAAGAUUAAUACCCGAUAGCAUAAUGAUUCCGCAUGGUUUCAUUAUUAAAGGAUUCCGGUAAAGGAUGGGGAUGCGUUCCAUUAGGUUGUUGGUGAGGUAACGGCUCACCAAGCCUUCGAUGGAUAGGGGUUCUGAGAGGAAGGUCCCCCACAUUGGAACUGAGACACGGUCCAAACUCCUACGGGAGGCAGCAGUGAGGAAUAUUGGUCAAUGGGCGGUAGCCUGAACCAGCCAAGUAGCGUGAAGGAUGAAGGCUCUAUGGGUCGUAAACUUCUUUUAUAUAAGAAUAAAGUGCAGUAUGUAUACUGUUUUGUAUGUAUUAUAUGAAUAAGGAUCGGCUAACUCCGUGCCAGCAGCCGCGGUAAUACGGAGGAUCCGAGCGUUAUCCGGAUUUAUUGGGUUUAAAGGGAGCGUAGGUGGACUGGUAAGUCAGUUGUGAAAGUUUGCGGCUCAACCGUAAAAUUGCAGUUGAUACUGUCAGUCUUGAGUACAGUAGAGGUGGGCGGAAUUCGUGGUGUAGCGGUGAAAUGCUUAGAUAUCACGAAGAACUCCGAUUGCGAAGGCAGCUCACUGGACUGCAACUGACACUGAUGCUCGAAAGUGUGGGUAUCAAACAGGAUUAGAUACCCUGGUAGUCCACACAGUAAACGAUGAAUACUCGCUGUUUGCGAUAUACAGUAAGCGGCCAAGCGAAAGCAUUAAGUAUUCCACCUGGGGAGUACGCCGGCAACGGUGAAACUCAAAGGAAUUGACGGGGGCCCGCACAAGCGGAGGAACAUGUGGUUUAAUUCGAUGAUACGCGAGGAACCUUACCCGGGCUUAAAUUGCAGUGGAAUGAUGUGGAAACAUGUCAGUGAGCAAUCACCGCUGUGAAGGUGCUGCAUGGUUGUCGUCAGCUCGUGCCGUGAGGUGUCGGCUUAAGUGCCAUAACGAGCGCAACCCUUAUCUUUAGUUACUAACAGGUCAUGCUGAGGACUCUAGAGAGACUGCCGUCGUAAGAUGUGAGGAAGGUGGGGAUGACGUCAAAUCAGCACGGCCCUUACGUCCGGGGCUACACACGUGUUACAAUGGGGGGUACAGAAGGCAGCUAGCGGGUGACCGUAUGCUAAUCCCAAAAGCCUCUCUCAGUUCGGAUCGAAGUCUGCAACCCGACUUCGUGAAGCUGGAUUCGCUAGUAAUCGCGCAUCAGCCACGGCGCGGUGAAUACGUUCCCGGGCCU